Molecule: ribosomal RNA, 253 nt
Filed under: uncultured bacterium
Lineage: Bacteria
Description: partial 16S ribosomal RNA
Rfam family: Bacterial small subunit ribosomal RNA
Source: RNAcentral
UACAGAGGGUGCAAGCGUUAAUCGGAAUUACUGGGCGUAAAGCGUGCGCAGACGGUUGCGUAAGUCAGAUGUGAAAGCCCCGGGCUCAACCUGGGAAUUGCAUUGGAUACUGGCAGGCUAGAGUGCGGUAGAGGGUAGUGGAAUUCCCGGUGUAGCAGUGAAAUGCGUAGAGAUCGGGAGGAACACCAGUGGCGAAGGCGACUACCUGGACCAGCACUGACACUGAGGCACGAAAGCGUGGGGAGCAAACAGG